This 301-nucleotide ribosomal RNA is filed under the name uncultured bacterium. RNAcentral's name for it is "partial 16S ribosomal RNA". It matches the Rfam family "Bacterial small subunit ribosomal RNA", at positions 509 to 808 of the family's 1533-position model. The record is from RNAcentral.
CAGUAGCCGCGGUAAUACGUAGGGUGCAAGCGUUAAUCGGAAUUACUGGGCGUAAAGCGUGCGCAGGCGGUUAUAUAAGACAGAUGUGAAAUCCCCGGGCUCAACCUGGGAACUGCAUUUGUGACUGUAUAGCUAGAGUACGGCAGAGGGGGAUGGAAUUCCGCGUGUAGCAGUGAAAUGCGUAGAUAUGCGGGGAACACCGAUGGCGAAGGCAAUCCCCUGGGCCUGUACUGACGCUCAUGCACGAAAGCGUGGGGAGCAAACAGGAUUAGAUACCCCAGUAGUCCCUGUCUCUUAUACA